RNAcentral lists this ribosomal RNA (824 nucleotides) under uncultured archaeon. RNAcentral's name for it is "bacterial SSU rRNA". It matches the Rfam family "Archaeal small subunit ribosomal RNA", at positions 26 to 849 of the family's 1478-position model. The record is from RNAcentral.
GCAGUUUUUGGAUGAACUAAGCCAUGCGAGUCAUUGUAGUAAUACAAGGCAGACGGCUCAGUAACGCGUCCCUUAAAUAACCUAUGGACGGGAAUAACCUCGGGAAACUGACUUUAAUGAGAGAUAGAACAUUAUGCAUGGAAUGGUUUAUGUUCCAAAUGAUUUAUAGUCGUAGGAUGGGACUGCCCCCUAUCAGUUUGUUGGUGAGGUAAUGGCCCACCAAGACUAUUACAGGUACGGGCUCUGAGAGGAGUGGCCCGGAGAUGGGUACUGAGACACGGACACAGGCCCUAUGGGGCGCAGCUUGUGAGAAAACUUUGCUAUGUGCGAAAGCACGACAAGGGUAAUCCGAAUGGUUUCCGGUAAAAGAACCUUUUGUCGGUCCUAAAAACACCGAUAAAAAAAGGGUGGUUUAGUUGUGGUGUCCGCCGCCGCGCGUAAACCAGCAGCUCAAGGGGUCAGGAUGAUUAUUGGGUCUAAAGCAUCCGUAGCCCGAUCUGUUAGUUUUCGGUUAAAUCUGUACGCUCAACGUAGCGGGUGUCGGGAAUACUGCAUAUUUUUGGAGUGGGAGAGGUGGACGGUUCUCCGUAGGAAGGGGAAAAAUCCUUUCAUCUUAUUGGUGACCACCUGGGGGGAAAGGGGUCCUCCCCAACACCCUCCAAAGGUGGGGGAUGAAAGUUGUGGGGACAAACCCGAUUAUUUAUACCGGGGGUUUCCCGCUUUUAAACUUGGGAAACUCCGUGAUGUAAUUGGGGUGUGGUCCGUUGGAAUGGUUGAAGGGAAAUCCGUCAAUUUUGCCGCCCUGGGUAAAACUUACGCAAGGU